GACGAAGGGGGCAAGCGUCGUUCGGAAUUACUGGGCGUAAAGCGCGUGUAGGUGGUUGUCAUAGUCAGGCGUGAAAGCCUUGAGCUCAACUCAAGAAAUGCGCUUGAUACUGGGCAGCUAGAGGACCGGAGAGGAUAGUGGAAUUCCCAGUGUAGUGGUGAAAUACGUAGAGAUUGGGAAGAACACCAGUGGCGAAGGCGGCUAUCUGGACGGUUUCUGACACUAAGACGCGAAAGCGUGGGGAGCAAACAGG
RNAcentral lists this ribosomal RNA (253 nucleotides) under uncultured bacterium. RNAcentral describes it as "partial 16S ribosomal RNA". It matches the Rfam family "Bacterial small subunit ribosomal RNA", at positions 524 to 776 of the family's 1533-position model. The record is from RNAcentral.